Molecule: ribosomal RNA, 300 nt
Filed under: uncultured Lactobacillus sp.
Lineage: Bacteria; Bacillati; Bacillota; Bacilli; Lactobacillales; Lactobacillaceae
Description: partial 16S ribosomal RNA
Rfam family: Bacterial small subunit ribosomal RNA (bases 52-300)
Source: RNAcentral
GCGAGCGCGGGGCGGAGGGCUGGGGUGAUGCGGAGGGGGGGGGGGUUGACCGGAAUCACUGGGCGUGAAGGGCGCGUAGGGGGCGGCCACAGUCUGGGGUGAAAGCUCGAUGCUGAACAUCGAGUCGGCCAUGGGGACUGGGUGGCUCGAGCACUGUAGGGGCAGAUGGAAUUCCGGGUGUAGCGGUGGAAUGCGUAGAGAUCCGGAAGAACACCGGUGGCGAAGGCGGUCUGCUGGGCAGUAGCUGACACUGAGGCGCGACAGCGUGGGGAGCAAACAGGAUUAGAUACCCCAGUAGUC